GUUUUCUAUUUUGCGCUUUUGUUGCUGCUGCUGCUGCUGCGACUGUUCUGCACGGCACUGCUGGUCGGCUCGGCUCGGCUCGGUCCGCGGGUUCUAUGAUGCGCUCGCGGCGGCUGCUGAAGUAAACUUGACGACAAAAUAAACCAACGGUUUUCCUCGCAGUCGCCGUCGCCGUCGCCGUCGCCGUCGCCGUAGCAGUCGCAGUCGCAGUUAAAAAUAGCAAACCGAGCAU
Molecule: small RNA, 232 nt
Filed under: Drosophila guanche
Lineage: Eukaryota; Metazoa; Arthropoda; Insecta; Diptera; Drosophilidae
Source: RNAcentral